Molecule: long non-coding RNA, 377 nt
Filed under: Rhinopithecus roxellana (golden snub-nosed monkey)
Lineage: Eukaryota; Metazoa; Chordata; Mammalia; Primates; Cercopithecidae
Description: lncRNA (ENSRROG00000046062.1)
Source: RNAcentral
GUUGGAGUCACAGGGGCCAAUAACUCAUCACCCCAGCACUUCGGAGGUGGCUCCCCGUGCCACGGACUCCGAGGAGUCCUUCAUCUACUGAACACUCAAAGCUGAGGAGGGCAAUUUGGUUUUGAUGCUGUGCCAGAAAUCUUCUGACAAUGAGUUAUUGGAACUUGGAAAAAAAGAACUGUGUGCAGUACCGCAGGCAUUUUCUGGUGGACAACAGUGUGUUUCAUGAAUUUUGCCAUAGGAAAGCCGGAAAAAAAAAAUACUCAUACACCAUCCUUGCUGAGAUGAAGAAGGAAAAGAAGACCAUUGAGAAUCCAAGUGUGCCUUAGAAAAUAUUAUGUAUUACAAAUGCAUACUGCCUUGAACUGAGCAAGGAC